UACGUAGGGUGCGAGCGUUAAUCGGAAUUACUGGGCGUAAAGGGCGCGUAGGCGGCCUGUUAAGUCGAACGUGAAAUCCCUGGGCUCAACCCAGGAACUGCGUCCGAUACUGGCAGGCUUGAAUUCGGGAGAGGGAUGCGGAAUUCCAGGUGUAGCGGUGAAAUGCGUAGAUAUCUGGAGGAACACCGGUGGCGAAGGCGGCAUCCUGGACCGAUAUUGACGCUGAGGCGCGAAAGCCAGGGGAGCAAACGGG
Molecule: ribosomal RNA, 253 nt
Filed under: uncultured bacterium
Lineage: Bacteria
Description: partial 16S ribosomal RNA
Rfam family: Bacterial small subunit ribosomal RNA
Source: RNAcentral